AAAGGAAUAGACGGGGACCCGCACAAGCAGCGGAGCAUGUGGUUUAAUUCGAUGCAACGCGAAGAACCUUACCAGGGCUUGACAUCCCUCGGACCGUCUUAGAGAUAAGACCUUCUCUUCGGAGACUGAGGGACAGGUGGUGCAUGGUUGUCGUCAGCUCGUGUCGUGAGAUGUUGGGUUAAGUCCCGCAACGAGCGCAACCCUUGCCUUUAGUUGCCAACAGUACGGCUGUGCACUCUAGAGGGACUGCCGAUGAUAAAUCGGAGGAAGGUGGGGAUGACGUCAAAUCAUCAUGCCCUUUAUGUCCUGGGCUACACACGUGCUACAAUGGUCGGUACAACGGGUAGCCACUUAGCGAUAAGGAGCCAAUCCCUUAAAACCGAUCCCAGUUCGGAUUGCAGGCUGCAACUCGCCUGCAUGAAGCCGGAGUUGCUAGUAAUCGUGGAUCAGAAUGCCACGGUGAAUGCGUUCCCGGGUCUUGUACACACCGCCCGU
This 495-nucleotide ribosomal RNA is filed under the name uncultured bacterium. RNAcentral describes it as "bacterial SSU rRNA". It matches the Rfam family "Bacterial small subunit ribosomal RNA", at positions 903 to 1397 of the family's 1533-position model. The record is from RNAcentral.